CUCUAUAAAAGAAAAACUUGAUGGAAAAAUUUUGAUUCGAUUAGAGAACCAAUUAGUUGAUUUGAUGGAAAAAUUGUUGUCAAGUUUUAUAAAAGUUGAGCAUGAGUUCCAUUAAUUUAUGCACCCACUUGAGGAGGACUGUAAAAGAUUGAAAUUGAUUUUGUAAAUAUGCUUGUGUGAUUUUUUCUUAUUACAACUUGAUUGAUUAGGGAAAUUGUUGAUUGUAAAUUAAUUGUAUUGAUUGUAUUUUAGAAGUGCUAUACUUGUAUAAUGAAUGUAAAACAUGCAAUGAAAUAUAAACAAAUAAAAAAUUAUUCCUCAACUUAAUAUAUUUUGAGCAACCAUCUUGGAGCUAGUCCCUGCUAAGGGAACCCUUAGCCAACACAAAAUUUGACAGAUUGACCAAUCAGUUGCUGAUUGGCAGUUGAAGCUAGAGUUUUAACAAUUAAAUGGAUUGCAUUGAAUUUUGAGGACUUUAAAAUCUAGAAAGGUUGGUCUGUCUAACAAUUUUUCUGAGACUUUCCCUACCUUAGAACGUUUGGUUGCCAUUCACCUCCUCAGCCGGUUCCCCCGACACAACUUCUCGCAAAUCUACUGGUCAAUCCAAUGCAAAAGCUCCUCCUGCUUUGUUUUUUCAAACCCUUAACGGACACUUGUCCUUCACCUCUUCUUCAACAACUCUAAACUUGUGGGGUAUUAAAAGAAAAGAAAUAUUUUCACUUCUGCAUACUUAGAAUUUCGUUCUUCUCCUCUUUUCAUUUCUUCCUCCCUCUAUACACAUAACUCUUUCUGCACUUCAAGAUUGCAAUGCUAGAUUUUCAUGACCCCGUUUUAUUAUUGUUUGCAUAAUAUUUCAUUACAUUUUCUGAAGAAGGCUUCAAGUUUGUCAGAUGGUUAUGCUAUUCCAUGCACAGGUUUUGCUGCCAACUGGGAUACAAGAGGAGGUUAAUUUUCCUUCUGUAUCCCAAAACAUGCAACACUCUUCAUUAAGAUAAGGCAGUUUAACAAAAUCUACAUACAACCAUGGAGCUUGAUUCCCCGAAAACAUCAAUGGCGAUUCUGUUUUCUGUUGAAGAUUGCGGUUGGGCGCUGUGGAAUUUGUCAGUCUGCAACUAUGCUAAUACAGUGAGUUGUUUUAUUUUCAUCCAAGUUAUCUAUUAAUUUCACAUACAUGAUCCAUGGUGGCAUGUGAUUAGAAAUAAAAGUGCUUACAUUUGAGUUGAAGAUUAUGUAGUAGAAGAGAAUUAUGGACUAGAAAUUGUUUUGGAAAUUUAAUAUACAUGUUAAAUUCUUAGAUA
Molecule: long non-coding RNA, 1298 nt
Organism: Mangifera indica (mango)
Lineage: Eukaryota; Viridiplantae; Streptophyta; Magnoliopsida; Sapindales; Anacardiaceae
Exons: 2
Source: RefSeq, a predicted model, not a curated record